GACGAACGCUGGCGGCAUGCCUAACACAUGCAAGUCGAACGGACAGACCAGGCAUGCUUUUCGUAGUGGAACUGGAAAGUUGGUGGCGGCUGGGUGAUUAACUCGUGGACAACCUACCUUGUAAUGGGGAAUCACCUCGAGAAAUCGAAGCUAAUACCCCAUAAUAACCUUGCUUCGCAUGAAGUAAGGCGGAUAGGCGGCCUUAGCGCUGUCGAUACAUGGUGGGUCCGCGUCUGAUUAGCUAGUUGGUGAGGUAAUGGCUCACCAAGGGGACUAUCCGUAGACGGCCUGAGAGGGUGAACGGCGACAUUGGAACUGAGACACGGCCAAAACGCCUACGGGAGGCAGCAGAGGGGAAUGUUCCGCAAUGGGCGAAAGUCUGACGGAGCAAUGCGGCGUGAGUGAAGAAGGCCUUCGGGUUGUAAAGCUCUGUCCUUAGCGAAGAGAGGGUGUUGUAGGAACUGACGAGACUAUGACGGUAGUGGAUGAAGAAGCACCGGCUAACUACGUG
Molecule: ribosomal RNA, 511 nt
Filed under: uncultured bacterium
Lineage: Bacteria
Description: partial 16S ribosomal RNA
Rfam family: Bacterial small subunit ribosomal RNA
Source: RNAcentral